This is a non-coding RNA of Pelobates cultripes (western spadefoot toad), 8464 nucleotides long. The record is from the annotation of a GenBank genome assembly. NCBI's taxonomy places the organism in Eukaryota, Metazoa, Chordata, Amphibia, Anura, Pelobatidae.
AUAAAAUACAGUUUCGAGAAAAAAAUGAUCUCUGUUAACCAAUUAAGUACUGAGCUGAUAGCCGAUUCUCAUAUUAUACUAGAAUACUGUCUCUCCUCUGUUACAGACACGGGUCGAUCAUUAUAUCUCACUCAUUACAAACAGGUUGAAAGCUUUCAGGGCCAAGUAAGUGAUUAGUGAAAUUCUCUAUAAAAAAUAUGAAAUACGAGUUUAUGAAAUAUCUGUUGUCUCUUUGUUAAAUUUGUUUGUCUAUCUAAUAACGUAAUCUAUCAUUAUCUAUCAUCCUAAAAUAUCCCUGUCUGUUAAUGAACUGUUGUCCGUUAACUAGAACUCAUUGUUUAGUGAAUAAAUCUUAGUUAGAAUUAUGCCAUUAUACAUGAUAACAUAGUACACUAAGUACACGUACUCAUUAAUGCAAAUUUCUAUUCAUGAUUCUAAUGCCUAAAGGAAUCAAGACGUGGUAGUUUGAAUAUUUCAGGAAAUGCAAUUAUUUCGGGGGAUUUUCACACCCAAUAUUCUCAGGUUUAUAGAGGGCAGCGUUCAUCCCUGUUCUGGGGUGAUGGAGGGUCAUACCCUGUUUUGUAAAAGUUUAUCUAAUAAAGUGACCACUUAAUACGUUAUUCAGAAAUGACAUGCAGUAUUACAUCUACGCCACUAGAUGUCAGAGUUUCAACCAUGUAGGGACAAUUUUAACCUCUUUAGGACUUCAUCUUACACGUUUUUAAUCAUCUCAUUUCCUUGUAGACCCUAGGCCAAAAAAAUAAUUUUCUAUUUAUUUAGCUUUGGCACGUCUCCACAUCCCCACAGAAAGAAACUGUGUGGGUCAUUCCAUUUUCGAAUAGGUUCCUUAAACAACAAAGUGUUCUGAUGGUUGAGCCCAUCAUUGGUACCUAAGGGGUCAAAGUAAUUUAUUACGUGAUAAACUAUUUUAUUUUAUUACAGUCAUAUAAUGUAGCGUUACUUACCUUAACCGGGGGCCGGUCGCGGUCCUCUCUUCAAGCCGCGCGCGGUCCUGCGGCUGCACGAGCCGCGCGCGGCUCAUCCAACUGCUUUGGAUGGAAGGCGGGCAGUGACCGCGUGAGGCGGUCACGUGUCUCGCCUGAAACUAAGAGCGCGCCGCGAGUCUCGGGCGCGCUCUUAAAGAGACAGUGGGAGCCUAAUUGCUAAAAGGCUCCCAUUGGCUCCUGUCAUACCACACUCCCUGUACAAUUACCUAUAGGGGGUGUGGAAGUGACAGGAGCCAAUCACUUUCGUUUUAAAGCUAUUUAAACUUACCUUUUUCCCUUAGCUCGUUGCCCUAUCGUGGUUUCUGUCUCAGUUCCCUUUAGCGCUUGUGGUGUUCAGUUGUGUUUUCUCGUAUUGACUUUGGCUUCGUAUUCUGACUUCGUUUUCGCUUUAUCCUUCUCUGUACUGUUUGCCGGCUUGCUGUUUUCCGUGUGCCCUUGACCUCGGUUUGUUCCUGGCUCUGUCUCCUCUCAUAUACGUCGAGUCCGGCCAUUCUAAGGUCCGGUAGACGUAUCUCUCCUCUGUAUUUGCCUCUGUUUUGCUGGAUCCUGCGUGUAGGGGUAUAUUCACGUUACAUUACGAUAGGGCCAUGGACCCCGCAGAUUUAGCUCAACAGAUGGCGUCCCAUGAGGCAAGAUUUGUAGAGCAGGAUCACCGUAUGGAUCAGAUAGCUCAGGCUCUCCAGACGCUCCUAGCUAGAACCGUUCCAGCAACCACACCUAACCCUCCUAUGCCCCUUCUCCCUGAAGUAUCUACUUUGCCUAAUACUUCGGCCCAUUUAACACCUCCUCCUAGGUAUGGAGGGGACUCUAAGACUUGCAGAGGGUUUAUUAAUCAAAUUGAAUUCCACUUCGAAAUGUAUCCACGUUCAUUUCCCACAGAGGUCUAAGGUUGGGUUCUUUAUGCACCAACUUACCGAUAAGGCACUUGAGUGGGCAAAUCCUAUUUGGGAAGCUAAUGGACCUAUGGUACAUGAUUUCAACAGUUUUCUUACGGCUUUUCGUAGAACUUUUGACACAAUGAAAAUGUCAAAGAAUGCCGCGAGAGCAUUAAUGAGAAUUAAACAGGGUUCUAGGUCUGUGGCUGAUUAUGCUAUUCAGUUUCGCACUCUUGCUUCGCAGGUAGAUUGGACCAACAAUGGAUUAACUACUGCCUUUAUGGAAGGUUUGUCUGAUACGAUAUUGGAUGAGGUAGCAGCUAAGGAGCUUCCUAUUGCCUUAGAGGACCUUAUCGAUUACCUCAUUGAUAUAGAUAAUAGAAUUCGUGACAGGCUCUAUACCAAGAACAGGAAUAGACGUUUUGUUACACCCAUUAACCCCAGAGUUAAUAUACCAGAGAGUGUUAAAGUGUCUGAGGAGGAACCUAUGCAAGUAGGGGUUGCCAAACUCUCUGAUACUGAGAAAUUACAUAGGAGAAGGGAGGGACUCUGCCUAUACUGUGGUAGGAGAGACCAUAUGGUAAAGGAAUGUCCUUUACUCCCGGAAAACUCUCGCACCUAAGACCUUAUAGGGGACUGGCCUUGGGUGUGAUAUCUAAAUUGCCUCCUAACCGCUUGCUUCUCCCGGUUUCUUUAUAUAUGGGAGAGAUUUGUAUAGUUGACAACAUAUAUGCUCUGGUUGACUCUGGGGCAGCUGAAAAUUUUAUAGACUCUGGCUUUAUAAAGAGAAAUAACAUUCCCAUCAGAGAGAAGGAGAUACCCUUGGCCGUUGAGGCCAUAGAUGGUAGACCAUUAAGUUCUCCAGUUGUUACUCAUGAGACUGUACCAUUACACAUGUACACAGGGGUUUUACACUAUGAAACCAUUCGAUUCCAGGUCAUCAUCUCUCCCUCUUCACAGUUAGUAUUAGGGUAUCCAUGGUUACGUGCUCACAAUCCCAUUUUUGACUGGGAGACAGGGCAAAUAAAAUCAUGGAGUGAGGCCUGCCACGAGUCUUGUACGUUGGAAGUCACACCCAUAUGAUCUGCCAUAUGAACUAGUGCCAGUGCUGCACACAGUGUGUGUUUACAUUAAAAAGCCUGCAGGGACAAACUAUAGAAACCAGAACAACUUUAUUAAGCUGCAGUGGUUCUGGGGACUAUAGUGUCCAUUUAUUGUGAGGUACCUACCAGUCCUCCUUUGUCUACGGUUAUACCCCCUCAGUAUUUAUCUCUAAAGACUGUUUUCGAUAAAAGGGAGGCUGAGAAAUUACCGCCUCACAGACCCUAUGAUUGCGCUAUUGACUUGUUGCCUGGCACUAUACCUCCAAAGGGCAGGGUGUACCCCUUAUCGGUUCAAGAAAACCGUGUCAUGGAGGAGUAUAUAAAGGAAUCACUAGAAAAGGGGUUUAUUAGGAGAUCCUCUUCUCCAGCUGGAGCAGGGUUCUUCUUUGUAUCGAAGAAAGAAGGUGAUUUAAGACCGUGUAUAGAUUAUAGAGGUCUAAACAAAAUCACUAUCAAAAAUGCAUACCCUAUACCUUUAAUUACAGAAUUAUUUGACAGGCUGAAACAUGCCACUGUGUUCACUAAAUUAGACCUUAGGAGUGCAUACAAUUUGAUACGUAUAAAGGAAAAUCACGAAUGGAAGACUGCAUUCAACACUAGAUCCGGUCAUUACGAAUAUACUGUUAUGCCAUUUGGGCUUUGCAAUGCCCCAGCAGUAUUCCAAGAAUUUAUUAAUGAUGUCUUAAGAGAUUUUAUUCACACAUUUGUUAUCGUAUACUUGGACGACAUUUUAAUAUAUUCUACAGACAUACACACUCAUCACAGACAUGUUACGACAGUUUUGAAGACCCUUCUUGCUAAUGGUCUUUAUUGCAAGCUAGAAAAAUGUCUGUUUGACCAAACCGAAGUCCAGUUCUUGGGGUAUUUGAUUUCCGCUAAAGGUUUUCGUAUGGAUCCCCAGAAGCUUGCUGCUGUAAUAGAAUGGCCUCUACCGCAAGGUCUGAAAGCUAUUCAGCGUUUUCUUGGGUUCUCCAAUUAUUAUAGACGUUUUAUCAAAGGUUUCUCGUCCAUUGUAGCACCUAUUACCCGUAUGACUAAAAAGGAUGGCAAUACUCGUGUUUGGUCUACCGAGGCACUUCAGGCUUUUGAAUUUCUUAAAACUACGUUCGCCUCUGCACCUAUUUUACAGCAUCCUGUCCCCUCACUGCCCUAUAUUCUUGAAGUUGAUGCUUCGGAUAUUGGGGUAGGUGCUGUCUUAUCCCAAAGAGAGUCGCCUGAAAAGCCAUUGCAUCCAUGCGGCUUCUUUUCUAAACAAAUGUCCAAAGCAGAGAAAAAUUAUGAUGUGGGUAAUCGCGAACUCCUUGCUAUUAUUUUAGCACUUAAAGAGUGGAGACAUUUGUUAGAAGGAACUAAGGAUCCUAUCCUCAUUUUUACGGAUCACAAGAACCUAUCCUACCUUAGCGAAGCCAAAAGAUUGUCUUCCAGGCAGGCUAGGUGGUCACUAUUUUUGUCCCGUUUCAAUUUUAUUAUCACCUAUAGGCCAGGUGAUCGCAACACUAAAGCAGACGCUCUGUCCAGACAGUUCGAAACUACUGACAAACAGGAGAUUGAUGUUACUCCUGUCAUUCCCCCAGACAGGAUAAUAGCUACUACUAUUUUGUCUAUUUCCUCGUCCCUCUUGCAGGCCAUACAAGCGAAACAAAGCAUGGCACCUAGCGAGAGGCCUAAUGAUAAACUGUUCGUUGAUGUUCCUGAGAGACGGGAUAUUAUGUCAUUAUAUCAUGAUACUAAGACUGCUGGACAUCCUGGUAUUUCCAAAACGGUGUCAGCUGUUUCUCGGUAUUUUUGGUGGGAUUCCUUACGAAAGGAUGUCACUGACUAUAUAAGUGCUUGUACUACUUGUGCCUGUAUGAAAUCCUCCCGUAGAGUUCCUUGUGGGCUGUUGCAUCCGUUACCCGUUCCCGAGAGACCUUGGUCUAACCUGUCCAUGGAUUUUAUUGUUGAAUUACCCCCUUCAAAUGGUAACACAGUAAUCCUGAUGAUAGUGGAUCGGUUCUCCAAAAUGGCUCACUUCGUGUCUCUUCACAAGUUGCCCACAUCCAAGGAACUGGCUCAUAUCUUCGCUAGAGAAGUAUUUAGAUUACAUGGGAUUCCCGUAUCUAUUGUAUCCGAUAGGGGUAGCCAAUUUAUUUCCAGGUUCUGGAGGGCCUUUUGUUCAGAAAUGGGUAUUUCUCUCUCAUUUUCUUCCGCUUAUCAUCCCCAGUCUAAUGGGGCUGCUGAACGUGCCAACCAGUCUCUGGAGCAAUACCUCCGUUGUUUUGUGUCUCACCAUCAGGACAAUUGGUCUGACCUGCUUCCUUGGGCUGAAUUUGCUCGGAAUAACGCCACUCAUGAUUCUUCCGGCAAGACCCCUUUUUACGUUGUCUAUGGCCAGCAUCCCGUUGUUCUUCCGGCUGCAUUCUCCUCACAGGGCAUGCCAGUUCUGGAUGAGCAUUUGGCUGGUUUGCGUAAUACUUGGGAGCAGGUUCAGCGUUCUUUGGUGGACUCUGCUACUCGCCAGAAGGCUCAGGCUGACAAGCAUCGCAGAGCAGCUCCGUCCUAUGUUGUGGGGGACAGGGUUUUGCUUUCCACGCGGAAUAUUCGUCUCCGGGUGCCUUCUAUGAAAUUGGCUCCCCGCUUCAUUGGACCUUAUCGUAUUAUACAUAAGGUUAAUCCUGUUUCUUAUGCCUUAGGCCUGCCUAAGAAUCUACGUAUUCCUAAUGUUUUUCACACCUCAUUGUUGAAACCUUUCGUACGCAACCGCUAUACCCGGCAUACUCCUCCUCCCCCUCCUAUCUCGGUGGAGGGUCAUGAGGAGUUUGAAGUGUCUGCUGUUCUUGACUCUCGUUUCCUUAGGGGUCGACUUCAGUACUUGGUACAUUGGAAGGGUUAUGGGCCUGAGGAGCACAGUUGGAUUUCGGCUGAUGCUGUCCAUGCUCCCCGUCUUGUGCGCUCUUUCCAUUCUCGUUUUCCUGCCAGGCCUGGUCCUACCCGCCCGGGGGCGUGUCCUCAGGGGGGGUACUGUAGCGUUACUUACCUUAACCGGGGGCCGGUCGCGGUCCUCUCUUCAAGCCGCGCGCGGUCCUGCGGCUGCACGAGCCGCGCGCGGCUCAUCCGACUGCUUUGGAUGGAAGGCGGGCAGUGACCGCGUGAAGCGGCCACGUGUCCUGCCUGAAACUAAGAGCGCGCCGCGAGUCUCGGGCGCGCUCUUAAAGAGACAGUGGGAGCCUAAUUGCCAAAAGGCUCCCAUUGGCUCCUGUCAUACCACCCUCCCUAUACAAUUACCUAUAGGGGGUGUGGAAGUGACAGGAGCCAAUCACUUUCGUUUAAAAGCUAUUUAAACUUACCUUUUUCCCUUAGCUCGUUGCCCUAUCGUGGUUUCUGUCUCAGUUCCCUUUAGCGCUUGUGGUGUUCAGUUGUGUUUUCUCGUAUUGACUUUGGCUUCGUAUUCUGACUUCGUUUUCGCUUUAUCCUUCUCUGUACUGUUUGCCAGCUUGCUGUUUUCCGUGUACCAGACCCCGGCUUGUCCUAGUUUACGCUGUCUCUCUGUGCCCUUGACCUCGGUUUGUUCCUGGCUCUGUCUCCUCUCAUAUACGUCGAGUCCGGCCAUUCUAAGGUCCGGUAGACGUAUCUUUCCUCUGUAUUUGCCUCUGUUUAGCUGGAUCCUGCGUGUAGGGGUAUAUUCUCGUUACAUAUAAUGACAUAUGUAAUGUAUUUCUUACAAUUCAUUAUAGUUGUAUAAUUUGUAAUGCUUUGGGCACCAAUGACCAUGGCCAUGCACCACUUUUGUUAGGUCCAAACCAUUAUAUACCUGGAACACUCCAAAAGACUUGGCGAUUUGGAGAUGAUCGGAUCCAGUCACCUAGCCAUCACUAUUUAGCCCUUGUCAGAGUCACUCAGAUCUUUUCCCUUGCCCAUUUUUCUGCAUCCAGCAAGUGAAAUUCAAGAACUGACAGUUCAUAUGCUUCCUCAUAUAUCUCACCCCUUGACAGGUGCCAUUGUGACAAUAUAAUAAUGUUAUUCACUUCACAUGUCAGUAGUUUUAAUGUUCUGGCUGAUCAGUGUAUAAAGCAAAAUAAUUAAAUUAAAUUAAACUAUAAUAGUUUUGUUAUAUGUGAGUAAUCCCAAAUUUGAAGAGUUUUUCUAUGAACACUAAAAGUUGAAAUGUGGAUAUAAGCGUUAUGAGAGGGUCUGCAUUAUAGAGACAUUCAGUAAGUAGAUCUAUAGCGAUAGGAGAAGAAUAAAUCCCAGAUUAUUAGUUUGAAAGAAUGAAAUAGUGGAGCAGAAUUCUAUCUGGGAAGUUUGUGUUUUCUUUCAGCCAGAAUAUAAUUAGAAUUCAGAUCAUGAUUUGUGUUCAGAAUACUCACAUAGGAACAUUAUGUCACCUCUCCCUUGCUACUUAAUGCCGUUUUCCUGGAGCAAUAUAAAUUAAAUAAGAUGAAAACACAAAUAAAUUAAUCAGUCGAAAGAUUCACUAUGCCAGGGACUGUGGACAACUGAAAUUUAAAGGAACACUAUAGGGUCAGGAACAUGUAUUCCUAACCUUAUAGUGUUAAAACAACUAUCUAGCCCCCGUCUCUGCCUGUGUCCUCCUAAAAUAAGCAAAAGCUUACUUUUAUUCCAGUCUGCAGCUGCUGGCUCUGCCCUUGAUCUGCUUGCUAGGCUGACAUCAUCAGAAGUGAUUCUCGGAGCUAAUCACAAUGCUUUCCCAUAUGAUUGGCUGAUACUGCAAAGGAGGCAGAUCAGGGGCAGAGCCAGCACAAGCCAAACAAAGCUCUAGCCAAUCAGCAUCUCCUCAUAGAGAUGCAUUGACUCAAUCAGGACUGCCCCAGGAAGCACCUCUAGCAGCCAUCUGAGCAGUGGCUAGUGUAGUUAUCUCUAAGCUGUAAUGUAAACACUGCAUUUUCUCUGAAAAGACAGUGUUUACUGCAAAAAACCUAAAGGGAAUGAUUCUAUUCACCAGAAUGAAUGCAAUAAGCUGCAAUUGUUCUGGUGACCCAUGUAAAGGGAAAUUAAAAAUGUUAGUCCAAAAUAGAUGACCUGGUGAAUUGCACUAGUAAAGUCCAAAAUGAGCAAUCCCCUUUUUCAUUCAAUUUACAAAUGAACAAGUUGCUCUUUAGUUCUGGCAAUUUACUAUAAAGUUUUGUUAUUAAAUAAAUAACAUGUUUUGUUUAUUUUUACAGUGUUCAGGUUCCACAGAAAAAAACAGGAGUCAAACAAAAUUAAAGAUUACCAAUCGACUGCUCUCUUCAUUAGUAUCGUUUCCAGUCUUUCAAUUCAGCACGAAUAAGGACAACCAACUACCACUCCCAUCACUCCUCCCUUCAUUCAUACCAUAUUCAAAGGUGGAAUCCCUCUCCGUUUCUAUGGUGAAAUGGAUUGCCUUGUCCAGGGAUUAAUAAAUGAGAAAGGUUACAAUGAGAAUUCACAUAUUAUUUCAUUUAGUUAAUUUUCUGUUUUUUCUGGUAUUAUAAUAAUAAAACUGUUUUCUUAUUUCAAA